GGGCAGCCCGAGGGCAAGCCCACGUGCUCCCGGGAGGGCAGAGUUUGCCCCUCUCCCGGAUAGAGUUAAUAGCGCUUCAGAUUCCGUGCAGAAUCGGAAUCUGGGAAGGGGCGGAAGCGCACAGCUGCGUGAGAAGGGAGAAGAGCAAAGUGUGGCCCCUAAAGGGAAGACCUCGUUUCUAAAUCUGUCCAGGGAACUCGAGCUGAGGGCUCUCCAACCCAGCCUCCUGGAAUCCCACCUCCUCCCCAGAGCAAGGGGAAGGAGCACCUACUACUCUGGGGGUGGGGACAUCCUUGGGUGACCCUGAGUCCCAGCCUAGACUUCUGUGAGGAAAAGGAAUGGUCAGAAGAAAGUUCAGUGAAACCUACUGGAUGUCUCUUUUCUCUCUCCUGACUCACUAGCCCCAGAAUCCACCUUUGAUUCUUGAACUUCAGUUUGGUUCCAGCUCAGCAGAGACCCUUAGCUCAGGACCCUCUCCCAGAUUCAGCUCUACAUUUUUGUUGUUUCAAUAAAAAGGGAAUUCUCCCCUUGCCAAAC
Molecule: long non-coding RNA, 537 nt
Organism: Jaculus jaculus (lesser Egyptian jerboa)
Lineage: Eukaryota; Metazoa; Chordata; Mammalia; Rodentia; Dipodidae
Exons: 2
Source: RefSeq, a predicted model, not a curated record